This 253-nucleotide ribosomal RNA is filed under the name uncultured bacterium. RNAcentral describes it as "partial 16S ribosomal RNA". It matches the Rfam family "Bacterial small subunit ribosomal RNA", at positions 524 to 776 of the family's 1533-position model. The record is from RNAcentral.
UACGUAGGGUGCGAGCGUUGUCCGGAAUUAUUGGGCGUAAAGAGCUCGUAGGCGGUUUGUCGCGUCGACUGUGAAAACCUGGGGCUUAACUCUGGGCCUGCAGUCGAUACGGGCGGGCUAGAGUUCGGUAGGGGAGACUGGAAUUCCUGGUGUAGCGGUGAAAUGCGCAGAUAUCAGGAGGAACACCGGUGGCGAAGGCGGGUCUCUGGGCCGAUACUGACGCUGAGGCGCGAAAGCCAGGGGAGCGAACGGG